AGAUGGAUGACAUGCAUGGCAGCAUGCGCAACAACCGGUCUGCAGCUUCCCCCUUCUCUAUUUUUCAAGUGCAGAAAGAACGUGGCCCCGCCCCUGUUUAUGGCGUCACGGCACAUUUUGUGCUUACGUCUUCAGCGCCUGCGCAGUGCGCACGUUCGAUAUACGGGGUUUGCGCUGCUCUGCUGCCGCUGCAUAAGGAUCGCCAUGUCUAAAGAGCAUCAGACCCCUCGUGAGCCUGAGCAGCUCCGCAAGCUGUUUAUUGGUGGUCUCAGUUUUGAGACAACAGAUGAGAGCCUUCGGGCCCAUUUCGAGCAAUGGGGAACCCUCACAGACUGUGUGGUGAUGAGGGAUCCAAACACCAAGAGGUCGAGGGGUUUCGGCUUUGUAACCUACAGUUCAGGAAAUGAGGUGGACGCAGCAAUGGAUGCUCGCCCGCACAAAGUGGAUGGGAGAGCAGUUGAACCCAAGAGGGCUGUAUCUAGAGAAGACUCAAGCAGACCAGGCGCUCACUCCACUGUUAAAAAGAUUUUUGUUGGUGGAAUCAAAGAAGACACAGAUGAGGAACACUUGCGCGAGUACUUUUGUCAGUUUGGUAAAAUCGAGGAGGUGAAUAUCAUGACUGAGAAAAACAGUGAUAAGAGGAGAGGCUUUGCCUUUAUCACGUUUGAUGACCAUGACUCUGUUGACAGGAUUGUCAUUCAGAAGUACCACACAGUGAAUGGACACAACUGUGAAGUCAGAAAAGCUCUCUCCAGGGAGGAAAUGAACAGGGUUUCAAUGAAUCCACGAGGUGGCCGAGGAGGAGGAGGAGGUGGUGGCAGCAGCGGUGGUGGAAACUUUGGUGGGAGAGGAGGUGGAUAUGGAGGUGGAUAUGGUGGAGGAAGAGGAGGUUAUGGUGGAGGUGAUGGAUAUAAUGGCUAUGGAGGAAAUGGUGGCUAUGGUGGAGGUGGACCAGGUUAUGGUGGUAACCGUGGUUAUGGAGGUGGCGGUGGCAGUGGCGGCUAUGGCAACCAGGGAGGUGGAUAUGGCGGUGGCGGUGGUGGCGGCAGCGGCUAUGACAACUUCAACAAUGGUGGUGGAGGCAACUUCGGAGGCAACUUUGGAGGGGGAGGAGACUACAAUGACUUUGGCAACUACAGUAACCAAUCUUCCUCUAAUUAUGGCCCAAUGAAGGGAGGAAACUACAGUGGUGGGGGUGGAAGAAGCGGUGGUGCCCCAUAUGGUGGUGGUUAUGGAGGAGGCUCCGGUGGGGGUUAUGGAGGAGGUUCAGGUGGUCGGAGAUUUUAAAUUUCAGGGUAUAUAAUUGGUGUUUAUUUCUGUGAGGUGCUAAAAGCUCAAAUCCAGCGGGUUGAUGUCUUUGAAGGUUAUCUUCACUGCGUGAAGUUAACAUUUCAAUAAUUCCUGUCUUUAAGCUAUAUCUACCAUGUUGGUGAAUGCACAGAAUAUCUGAAAUGGUUUGCAUAGAGCUGAACAAUAGCUGCUGGGCAGCAUUUGAAAUAGUUUUGUAUUUUAUUUUUAACAUUUUCAUGUUUUAUAUAUUUAAAAACUUUUAUAAGCAUUUAAAUAAAAUUUUGAAAAACAAGAGUAAAAUGCUUCAUUUGGACUGAUUGUAACAAGUUUUUUUAAAUGCAUUUUAAUAUUCUACACAAAGAUUUCCGUGAUUGUUUCAGGAAAAAAUCAUCACAUUACCACACUCACAAGGUUAAUAAAAGCUUAGAAUGAAAACUAGUACAAGAAAAAGACUGAUAUCCUCUGGUGACAGGUGAUCGCAAUUCAUAUUUGUAUUUCAAUUGAGGGUAUUUUUUUCAUCCAAUUGAAUCGCAUAAAUCCAAUGGAAAAGCUGAGAUUUAUCAACAUUCUAUGUGAAGUUCACAUGAGUGACUGAAUUAAGUAAAUGUUAUGUGAGGAACUGUGAAGCUUGUGUAAUACAUAAACUUGCCAUUAGGAGAAGUUGUAUAAAUAAGUUGGAUUUGGCCUUAACCCAAGUUUAACCUUCACUCUUCACCAUUAUAGUGGUCCCCAAAAGUCAUAUGUAACAGAAAGUCAUCUGAAUUUCAACAUUACAGAACAAUAACCACUAACAAGUCUUUAAAUUUCAUGCUGCUCAAAAUAACUCUAAAUUAACAAUCUAUCUAGGGAGAGCAAAAUGACUCUAACCUAUAAUGAAUUGCUUGUGCAGGCAUAUAAAGAUAUUUAAAGUCGUAAUUCAUGAGUUGUUAUUUGGUGUUUCGGAUUCAGAAGUGCACCACAACGCAAAUAUUUUGUUUUGUUUGAAUGCAAAACCUUUGUGUUCGUAUUUUAGAUGUGUCAGGAGAGCAAGCGGUUUGUUUCUUAGCCGAUCCUGUCAAAAGCUGAGCAUGUUGAGGCGGUAAAACAAUCGGGCGCAAAAAAAGGCUGCGCUACGUGCUGCUGUAGUACUCGAGUCCGGACUCGAGACGUUUUUUUAUGAUCUCGGACUUGUCUUGGACUCGUUGGUAUUUGCAUUCGGACUUGGUCAUUGGUCUCGACCGAGUCCAUAUAUAUAUAUAUAUAUAUAUAUUUUCUCCUUCAAAACAAAACAUUGAUAGAGCAUGCCUCUUGUGAUCCGAAAACUGUUGCCGACUCAAGAACGAGAGCCGCGCGUGUUCAUAAGUUCUCUCUUCACACAGCAGUUCAGUUCAGUGUGUGCUGUUGAUGUAACUAAACAACUCCGGUAUAUUGGUUCAAGUCCUCGGGAAUGUCAUGCACGCCAGAAAGUAAGAACUGAAUUAAUUUGUGGGUAAUAUUAAGUGUUUACGGGAGACGCUAAACGUGAACAAUUCAGGUGAAAUGGUUCGACCGGUUCACUUAAAAGAAUGAACCGGUUCAAAUGAACGAUUCGUCCACGGCGCGAACUGAACAGCAUCAAUCAUUCAUCAGGCACGAUGGUCAGCGAGCAGCGGCAUAAUAACAUUUGGUUUUACAAACCAUAAAGAAUUUAUCGACAGUGCGCUUAAAAGGAAACUUUGCAACAAUACUUUCUCUGAAACCUGUGGGACGACAUCCAAUUUGUAAGAAACCUGCAAAGGCAUCACAAAGAGAGGUAAGUUAAUGCCAUGUUUCAGAGUUAGCAUUGCAUUUGAAUAUUUUUAGAAAGUAGUUAUGAGUUUAGAAAGUAGGGCUUAAAGAUAAGAUUGAUCGUAUUUUUAUUGUCAUUUCGAUAUGAACAUGUUAUUUAAGUAUGUGCACCGAAACGUGCUUUUAAACGAGCCGUGGGUAUGGCAAGCCGAUGGUAUCAGAAUUACGCCAUAGAUUAAACGCGUUUAUAUCCGAACGCCGUUUUUGACGGCGUUUUAAACAGUAUUUGUAUGGAAAGCCAACUAUGG
RNA transcript from Triplophysa rosa, 3344 nucleotides. It is a transcript of the gene named heterogeneous nuclear ribonucleoprotein A1a, with no coding region annotated. The transcript has 14 exons. Lineage: Eukaryota; Metazoa; Chordata; Actinopteri; Cypriniformes; Nemacheilidae. The record is from RefSeq and is a predicted model, not a curated record.